Molecule: ribosomal RNA, 492 nt
Filed under: uncultured bacterium
Lineage: Bacteria
Description: partial 16S ribosomal RNA
Rfam family: Bacterial small subunit ribosomal RNA
Source: RNAcentral
AGUGAACGCUGGCGGUAGGCCUAACACAUGCAAGUCGAACGGCAGCACAGUAAGAGCUUGCUCUUACGGGUGGCGAGUGGCGGACGGGUGAGGAAUACAUCGGAAUCUACUUUUUCGUGGGGGAUAACGUAGGGAAACUUACGCUAAUACCGCAUACGACCUACGGGUGAAAGCAGGGGAUCUUCGGACCUUGCGCGAUUGAAUGAGCCGAUGUCGGAUUAGCUAGUUGGCGGGGUAAAGGCCCACCAAGGCGACGAUCCGUAGCUGGUCUGAGAGGAUGAUCAGCCACACUGGACCUGAGACACGGUCCAGACUCCUAGGGGGGGCAGCAGUGGGGAAUAUUGGACAAUGGGCGCAAGCCGGAUCCAGCCAUACCGCGUGGGUGAAGAAGGCCUUCGGGUUGUAAAGCCCUUUUGUUGGGAAAGAAAAGCAGCAGGUUAAUACCCCGCUGUUCUGACGGUACCCAAAGAAUAAGCACCGGCUAACUUCGUG